AACAGGAUUAGAUACCCUGGUAGUCCACGCCGUAAACGAUGUCGACUUGGAGGUUGUGCCCUUGAGGCGUGGCUUCCGGAGCUAACGCGUUAAGUCGACCGCCUGGGGAGUACGGCCGCAAGGUUAAAACUCAAAUGAAUUGACGGGGGCCCGCACAAGCGGUGGAGCAUGUGGUUUAAUUCGAUGCAACGCGAAGAACCUUACCUACUCUUGACAUCCAGAGAACUUAGCAGAGAUGCUUUGGUGCCUUCGGGAACUCUGAGACAGGUGCUGCAUGGCUGUCGUCAGCUCGUGUUGUGAAAUGUUGGGUUAAGUCCCGCAACGAGCGCAACCCUUAUCCUUUGUUGCCAGCGAUUCGGUCGGGAACUCAAAGGAGACUGCCAGUGAUAAACUGGAGGAAGGUGGGGAUGACGUCAAGUCAUCAUGGCCCUUACGAGUAGGGCUACACACGUGCUACAAUGGCAUAUACAAAGAGAAGCGACCUCGCGAGAGCAAGCGGACCUCAUAAAGUAUGUCGUAGUCCGGAUUGGAGUCUGCAACUCGACUCCAUGAAGUCGGAAUCGCUAGUAAUCGUGGAUCAGAAUGCCACGGUGAAUACGUUCCCGGGCCUUGUACACACCGCCCGUCACACCAUGGGAGUGGGUUGCAAAAGAAGUAGGUAGCUUAACCUUCGGAGGGCGCUUACCACUUUGUGAUUCAUGACUGGGGUGAAGUCGUAACAAGGUAACC
Molecule: ribosomal RNA, 729 nt
Filed under: uncultured bacterium
Lineage: Bacteria
Description: bacterial SSU rRNA
Rfam family: Bacterial small subunit ribosomal RNA
Source: RNAcentral